UGGACACCCAUGUCUGUUGCUAAUCUCAAACCCAAAAUGCAUGCCUCAUAUUCCGCCAUUUGUUGGUGCAAUAUAAAUGGAGUUGAGCUGUGACUGGGUAAUGAUGCCCUUCUUCAGAAAUGAGCACCGCUCUUAUCCCGACGCCUUUCAUGUUGGUAGCCCCAUCAAAAAACAACUUCCAUCCCGACUUCUCAUCCUGCUCUGUUUCAUU
Molecule: long non-coding RNA, 211 nt
Filed under: Nicotiana benthamiana
Lineage: Eukaryota; Viridiplantae; Streptophyta; Magnoliopsida; Solanales; Solanaceae
Description: long non-coding RNA (NBEN_LNC041687)
Source: RNAcentral